Non-coding RNA from Arvicanthis niloticus (Nile rat), 890 nucleotides. Lineage: Eukaryota; Metazoa; Chordata; Mammalia; Rodentia; Muridae. The record is from RefSeq and is a predicted model, not a curated record.
UAAGGAGACCCUCGCAGAGUUGCUUCUCUCCUGCCUGACCAUGCCGCUUGCUGGUGAGUGUUUCUGCCCUGUAGCUGCCACAGCGCUGCCAUUCUUUUCUGACAUCAGUUCUCAGCCUCUUUGCAGUGUGGAUUAAAGAACAGCUUCUCUCCAGGAAUCCUCCAGAAAUCGAGUGACCGAUUGGGACUGCUGAGACUUCCAGCCUUGGGGACAGGGCUCUCAACCUCUCCAGUGUGUGGACAGCAUUUGCUGACUAUUCAGAAUACCCAGGAGGUGUUGUGCAAGCCUGUCUGCUAAGUGUCCUGUAUAAUAUAUGUUCAAUCUAUUGGUUCUAGGGAACCCUGAUUGAUUUUGACAUGUUUACUACAAAUCUUUAAUCUGUACAUUUUUAAUUAGAUUUAUGCAUUUUACUUCAUGUAUGGGUAUUUUACCUACCUGUAUGUCUGUUCGCAGUGUACAUGCUUGGUGCCUAUGGAGGUCAGAAGGGGCAUCGGAUCCUCUAGAACUGGAGUUACAGGUUUGGGAGUAACUUCUGCGAAAUACUUUGGUUUUUAUCAUCAACAAGUUGCAUCUUGGGACUAAUUACUUUUACAAAUGAUUUAAAACUGAUUAUUUUACCUUCCUUUAGGGGAAUGAAUUUCUUUUGUCUUCCCUCCAAAUCAAGUGAUGUCAUAUUUGGGUUCUGCAUUUCUUUAUGGACUUAUCAGUCACUAUUUCACUACAUAUAUAGAAUAUGCAUAUAUUUGAUUAUCAUUUCCAAUUCUAUUGGGCAAUAAUUUAUAUAAAGUGAAUUUUACAUAUUUAAAGUAUCUAUUUUAGCUUUGGUACUUGGCUACACCCAGCAAAUCAUCAUAAUUAUUAAUAAAGAGAAUGUCUGUAUGGCCCUGAAA